Molecule: transfer RNA, 73 nt
Filed under: Candidatus Woesearchaeota archaeon
Lineage: Archaea; Nanobdellati; Candidatus Woesearchaeota
Description: tRNA-Val
Rfam family: tRNA
About the family: Transfer RNA (tRNA) molecules are approximately 80 nucleotides in length. Their secondary structure includes four short double-helical elements and three loops (D, anti-codon, and T loops).
Source: RNAcentral
GGGCUCAUGAUCUAGUGGCUAUGAUGUCACCUUGACGUGGUGAAUGUCGUCGGUUCAAGUCCGGCUGGGCCCA